UACAGAGUUCUCAAGCGUUGUUCGGAUUCAUUGGGCGUAAAGGGUGUGUAGGCGGCGCGGUAAGUCGGGUGUGAAAUCUUGGAGCUUAAUUCCGAAACUGCAUUCGAUACUGCCGUGCUUGAGGACUGGAGAGGAGACUGGAAUUUACGGUGUAGCGGUGAAAUGCGUAGAUAUCGUAAGGGAGACCAGUGGCGAAGGCGGGUCUCUGGACAGUUCCUGACGCUGAGGCACGAAGGCCAGGGGAGCAAACGGG
Molecule: ribosomal RNA, 253 nt
Filed under: uncultured bacterium
Lineage: Bacteria
Description: partial 16S ribosomal RNA
Rfam family: Bacterial small subunit ribosomal RNA
Source: RNAcentral